RNAcentral lists this ribosomal RNA (446 nucleotides) under uncultured bacterium. Its description in RNAcentral is "bacterial SSU rRNA". It matches the Rfam family "Bacterial small subunit ribosomal RNA", at positions 335 to 773 of the family's 1533-position model. The record is from RNAcentral.
ACUCCUACGGGAGGCAGCAGUGGGGAAUAUUGCACAAUGGGCGCAAGCCUGAUGCAGCCAUGCCGCGUGUAUGAAGAAGGCCUUCGGGUUGUAAAGUACUUUCAGCAGUGAGGAAGGCGGGUACGUUAAUAGCGUAUUCGUUUGACGUUAGCUGCAGAAGAAGCAACCGGCUAACUCCGUGCCAGCAGCCGCGGUAAUACGGAGGGUGCGAGCGUUAAUCGGAAUUACUGGGCGUAAAGCGCAUGCAGGUGGUUUGUUAAGUCAGAUGUGAAAGCCCGGGGCUCAACCUCGGAAUUGCAUUUGAAACUGGCAGACUAGAGUACUGUAGAGGGGGGUAGAAUUUCAGGUGUAGCGGUGAAAUGCGUAGAGAUCUGAAGGAUACCGGUGGCGAAGGCGGCCCCCUGGACAGAUACUGACACUCAGAUGCGAAAGCGUGGGGAGCAAAC